This 157-nucleotide ribosomal RNA is filed under the name uncultured bacterium. RNAcentral's name for it is "partial 16S ribosomal RNA". The record is from RNAcentral.
CACAGAGUUAGCCGGUGCUUCUUCUUUGGGUACCAUCAGGGACGGAGAUGUUAGCUCCGCCUUGUUUGUCCCCACCGAAAGUGCUUUACAACCAAGGCCUUCUUCACACACGCGGCAUUGCUGGAUCAGGGUUGCCCCCAUUGUCCAAUAUUCCCCA